GUUGUGGGUCAGUGGUAGAGCACUCGCCUUGCACGUGCGAGACCCUGGGUUCGAUCCUCAGCACCACA
RNAcentral lists this transfer RNA (68 nucleotides) under Marmota monax (woodchuck). RNAcentral's name for it is "tRNA.Ala". The record is from RNAcentral. Lineage: Eukaryota; Metazoa; Chordata; Mammalia; Rodentia; Sciuridae.